Molecule: ribosomal RNA, 460 nt
Filed under: uncultured bacterium
Lineage: Bacteria
Description: partial 16S ribosomal RNA
Rfam family: Bacterial small subunit ribosomal RNA
Source: RNAcentral
CCUACGGGAGGCAGCAGUGAGGAAUAUUGGUCAAUGGACGCAAGUCUGAACCAGCCAUGCCGCGUGCAGGAAGACGGCUCUAUGAGUUGUAAACUGCUUUUGUACGAGGGUAAACGCAGAUACGCGUAUCUGUCUGAAAGUAUCGUACGAAUAAGGAUCGGCUAACUCCGUGCCAGCAGCCGCGGUAAUACGGAGGAUUCAAGCGUUGUCCGGAUUUAUUGGGUUUAAAGGGUGCGUAGGCGGUCGGAUAAGUUAGAGGUGAAAGCCCGAGGCUCAACUCGGGAAUUGCCUGUGAUACUGUUCGGCUAGAGAGUAGAUGCGGUAGGCGGAAUGUAUGGUGUAGCGGUGAAAUGCUUAGAGAUCAUACGGAACACCAGUUGCGAAGGCGGCUUACCAGGCUACUUCUGACGUUGAGGCACGAAAGCGUGGGGAGCAAACAGGAUUAGAUACCCGUGUAGUC